This 254-nucleotide ribosomal RNA is filed under the name uncultured bacterium. RNAcentral describes it as "partial 16S ribosomal RNA". It matches the Rfam family "Bacterial small subunit ribosomal RNA", at positions 524 to 777 of the family's 1533-position model. The record is from RNAcentral.
UACGAAGGGGGCUAGCGUUGCUCGGAAUCACUGGGCGUAAAGCGCACGUAGGCGGUUUGUACAGUCAGACGUGAAAUUCCUGGGCUCAACCUGGGGGCUGCGUUUGAUACGUGCAGACUUGAGUUCGGAAGAGGGUCGUGGAAUUCCCAGUGUAGAGGUGAAAUUCGUAGAUAUUGGGAAGAACACCGGUGGCGAAGGCGGCUCUCUGGACCGAGACUGACGCUGAGGCGCGAAAGCGUGGGGAGCAAACAGGG